This 497-nucleotide ribosomal RNA is filed under the name uncultured bacterium. RNAcentral's name for it is "partial 16S ribosomal RNA". It matches the Rfam family "Bacterial small subunit ribosomal RNA", at positions 28 to 507 of the family's 1533-position model. The record is from RNAcentral.
GAUGAACGCUGGCGGCGUGCCUAAUACAUGCAAGUCGAGCGAACGGACGAGAAGCUUGCUUUUCUGAUGUUAGCGGCGGACGGGUGAGUAACACGUGGAUAACCUACCUAUAAGACUGGGAUAACUUCGGGAAACCGGAGCUAAUACCGGAUAAUAUUUUGAACCGCAUGGUUCAAAAGUUAAAGACGGUCUUGCUGUCACUUAUAGAUGGAUCCGCGCUGCAUUAGCUAGUUGGUAAGGUAACGGCUUACCAAGGCAACGAUGCAUAGCCGACCUGAGAGGGUGAUCGGCCACACUGGAACUGAGACACGGUCCAGACUCCUACGGGAGGCAGCAGUAGGGAAUCUUCCGCAAUGGGCGAAAGCCUGACGGAGCAACGCCGCGUGAGUGAUGAAGGUCUUCGGAUCGUAAAACUCUGUUAUUAGGGAAGAACAUAUGUGUAAGUAACUGUGCACAUCUUGACGGUACCUAAUCAGAAAGCAACGGCUAACUACGUG